This 495-nucleotide ribosomal RNA is filed under the name uncultured bacterium. RNAcentral's name for it is "bacterial SSU rRNA". It matches the Rfam family "Bacterial small subunit ribosomal RNA", at positions 28 to 507 of the family's 1533-position model. The record is from RNAcentral.
GAUGAACGCUAGCGACAGGCUUAACACAUGCAAGUCGAGGGCGAGCGGGGAGUAAGCUUGCUUAUUCCUGCCGGCGACCGGCGCACGGGUGAGUAACACGUAUGCAACCUGCCCUUGGCACGGGGGAUAACCCGGAGAAAUCCGGACUAAUACCGCGUAACACCCUUGGGGGACAUCCCCCGGGGGUCAAAGGAAGCAAUUCCGGCCAAGGAUGGGGAUGCGUCUGAUUAGCUUGUUGGCGGGGUAACGCCCACCAAGGCAACGAUCAGUAGGGGUUCUGAGAGGAAGGUCCCCCACAUUGGAACUGAGACACGGUCCAAACUCCUACGGGAGGCAGCAGUGAGGAAUAUUGGUCAAUGGGCGCAAGCCUGAACCAGCCAAGUAGCGUGAGGGAAGACUGCCCUACGGGUUGUAAACCUCUUUUGUUUGGGAAUAAAGUGCGGGACGUGUCCCGCAUUGCAUGUACCAUUUGAAUAAGGACCGGCUAAUUCCGUG